GAUGAACGCUAGCUACAGGCUUAACACAUGCAAGUCGAGGGGUAACGAGAGGAAAGCUUGCUUUCCUUGUCGACGACCGGCGCACGGGUGAGUAACGCGUAUCCAACCUGCCCCCAACUAGGGAAUAACCUUGCGAAAGUAAGACUAAUACCCUAUAAUUUCCUCAGAUGACAUCUGACGAGGAAUAAAGAUUUAUCGGUUGUGGAUGGGGAUGCGUCUGAUUAGCUUGUUGGCGGGGUAACGUCCCACCAAGGCAACGAUCAGUAGGGGUUCUGAGAGGAAGGUCCCCCAAAUUGGAACUGAGACACGGUCCAAACUCCUACGGGAGGCAGCAGUGAGGAAUAUUGGUCAAUGGGCGGAAGCCUGAACCAGCCAAGUAGCGUGCAGGAUGACGGCCCUAUGGGUUGUAAACUGCUUUUAUACAGGAAUAAAGUUAGCCACGUGUGGUUAUUUGUAGGUACUGUAUGAGUAAGGACCGGCUAAUUCCGUGCCAGCCGCCGCGGUAA
RNAcentral lists this ribosomal RNA (506 nucleotides) under uncultured bacterium. Its description in RNAcentral is "partial 16S ribosomal RNA". It matches the Rfam family "Bacterial small subunit ribosomal RNA", at positions 28 to 523 of the family's 1533-position model. The record is from RNAcentral.